RNAcentral lists this long non-coding RNA (874 nucleotides) under Vombatus ursinus (common wombat). RNAcentral describes it as "lncRNA (ENSVURG00010016179.1)". The record is from RNAcentral. Lineage: Eukaryota; Metazoa; Chordata; Mammalia; Diprotodontia; Vombatidae.
AGGACUGGGGAGCUCUAACAAAUCUGGGGACAACCAGGGUGGGUCUAACUUUGGAUAUAUCGGUAAUGUUUCCUAAUUGCUGGCACUAUAAUGAUUCUUUGCUAUGGAAGAUGCCAAAUGGGCAUGAACCACCAGCCUUGGACAGUACAGUACAACGGGAGAACGCUCCAGCCUUGAGUGUCCGGAACCAGAUUCGUCUCCCACCCUAAGGUGGCGGAAGGAAGAGCAAAUGACUCAGCAUUUCUGCUUAUGGGCUUAGUGCUACCUGACCAGCCUGGCCCCAAACUCUAUCAGCGUCCUGCACAAACUGUAGGACAUUGAUCCCUGCAGUUAGGGCUGAAAGGCCAUUCCUCCAAAAGGAAAGGGGAAUUUCCAUGAACCUCAAUGUCAUUGCCCAGCUGGGUUAACAAACCAUCUUAUCUUGCUCCAUUCAGCCCCAUUCCCAGCAGGAUGCCCUGCCUGUCCAAUUUCUCAUGUUUUGUUCCAUGGAGCUACAGUUCCUAAUCCUUCUUUCUGAUUCACAUCCCCCCUUGUCUUGAGUUUUCCUAGUCCAGUAUUGUUAGAGCUCCCCUGUGGUAUGAUUUCAAUCAGUUACCGAGGUCAAGGGAAUUUUUAAGUUGUGACAGUAAGGGAUUUCUAAUUCAGUGGGAAGGUGGUUCUUCCCAGUAGUUGGAGAAAGAUUGAAAGUAUGCCAACAUGAGACACAUCUCAGAUGGUAUUGUGACAGGGACAAUAGUACCUCUUCAUUGAUGACGUUGCUGGUUUUCUGAGGUGCCUUGACUUUCUUUAGUCUGUAUGCUGGCAUCUGAAAUUUCAUUAAGGAAUCAUACCAUCCAGCAAUAAAGUAAGGAAAUAAAUAUUUAUUAAAGGUCUG